GUGCUCAGUUUGGCAGCACAUGUUCUGAAAUUGGAAUGAUAUGGAGAGAAGGUUAACAUGGCCCUUAUGCAAGGAAGCCACAAAUUCAUGAAGAGGCCCAUAAAAAAGAA
Small nuclear RNA from Manis javanica (Malayan pangolin), 110 nucleotides. The record is from RefSeq and is a predicted model, not a curated record. NCBI's taxonomy places the organism in Eukaryota, Metazoa, Chordata, Mammalia, Pholidota, Manidae.